ACGAACGCUGGCGGCGUGCUUAACACAUGCAAGUCGUACGGUAAGGCCCUUUCGGGGGUACACGAGUGGCGAACGGGUGAGUAACACGUGAGUAACCUGCCCACAACUUUGGGAUAACGCUAGGAAACUGGUGCUAAUACUGGAUAUGUGCUCCUGCUGCAUGGUGGGGGUUGGAAAGCUCCGGCGGUUGUGGAUGGACUCGCGGCCUAUCAGCUUGUUGGUGGGGUAGUGGCCCACCAAGGCGGCGACGGGUAGCCGGCCUGAGAGGGUGACCGGCCACAUUGGGACUGAGAUACGGCCCAGACUCCUACGGGAGGCAGCAGUGGGGAAUAUUGCACAAUGGGCGCAAGCCUGAUGCAGCAACGCCGCGUGCGGGAUGACGGCCUUCGGGUUGUAAACCGCUUUCAGCAGGGACGAAGCUUUUUGUGACGGUACCUGCAGAAGAAGCACCGGCUAACUACGUG
RNAcentral lists this ribosomal RNA (464 nucleotides) under uncultured bacterium. Its description in RNAcentral is "partial 16S ribosomal RNA". It matches the Rfam family "Bacterial small subunit ribosomal RNA", at positions 29 to 507 of the family's 1533-position model. The record is from RNAcentral.